RNAcentral lists this unclassified non-coding RNA (337 nucleotides) under soil metagenome. RNAcentral describes it as "partial contains 5.8S ribosomal RNA, internal transcribed spacer 2, and large subunit ribosomal RNA". The stretch from base 1 to 120 matches the Rfam family "5.8S ribosomal RNA", at positions 35 to 154 of the family's 154-position model. The record is from RNAcentral.
GAUGAAGAACGCAGCGAAAUGCGAUAAGUAGUGUGAAUUGCAGAAUUCAGUGAAUCAUCGAAUCUUUGAACGCACAUUGCGCCCCUUGGUAUUCCAUGGGGCAUGCCUGUUCGAGCGUCAUUUGUACCUUCAAGCUUUGCUUGGUGUUGGGUGUUUGUCUCGCCUCUGCGUGUAGACUCGCCUUAAAACAAUUGGCAGCCGGCGUAUUGAUUUCGGAGCGCAGUACAUCUCGCGCUUUGCACUCAUAACGACGACGUCCAAAAGUACAUUUUUACACUCUUGACCUCGGAUCUGGUAGGGAUACCCGCUGAACUUAAGCAUAUCAAUAAGCGGAGGA